UGAGGGUUUGGUCCUGGCCCCAAUAUUAGUCCUAACUUAACUUACACAUGCAAGUCUCAGCACUCCGGUGAGAACGCCCCGUCUAAACCAAAAAAACUUAAACGGGAGCUGGUAUCAGGCACGCCUAUAAGGGCAGCCCAUGACACCUCGCUCAGCCACACCCACAAGGGAACUCAGCAGUGAUAAAUAUUGUUCCAUAAGCGUAAGCUUGAACCAAUUAAAGUUUAGAGGGUCGGUUAAUCUCGUGCCAGCCACCGCGGUUAUACGAGUGACACAAACUAAUAUUCCACGGCGUUAAGGGUGAUUAGAACAAAUCUUCCCAAAAAUAAAGUUAAGACAACAUCAAACUGUCAUACGUUCUCAUGUUUAAAAACAUCACUUACGAAAGUAACUUUAUACAAGAAAGAGUUUUUGACUUCACGACAGUUAAGGCCCAAACUAGGAUUAGAUACCCUACUAUGCUUAACCAUAAACAUCAUAUCAUAAAAUUACCUUAAUAUAUCGCCUGAACACUACAAGCGCUAGCUUAAAACCCAAAGGACUUGGCGGUACUCCAAACCCACCUAGAGGAGCCUGUUCUAUAACCGAUAAUCCGCGUUCAACCUCACCACUUCUUGCUCUCUCCGCCUAUAUACCGCCGUCGUCAGCUCACCCUAUGAAGGUUUAACAGUAAGCACAAUGACCCUUCUCCUCACUACGUCAGGUCGAGGUGUAGCGAAUGAAGUGGGAAGAAAUGGGCUACAUUCUCUCUACAGAAAACACGAACAGAAGCAUGAAAAACUUCUUAAAGGUGGAUUUAGCAGUAAGUAAACUUUAGAACAUUAUACUGAAACCGGCUCUGGAGUGCGCACACACCGCCCGUCACUCUCCUCGAGAACAACUACUCACUUUCAUAAAAAAAAUUAAAAACAAGAGGAGGCAAGUCGUAACAUGGUAAGUGUACCGGAAGGUGCACUUGGAUUAAC
This 965-nucleotide non-coding RNA is filed under the name Pateobatis hortlei (Hortle's whipray). RNAcentral's name for it is "12S ribosomal RNA". It matches the Rfam family "Bacterial small subunit ribosomal RNA". Lineage: Eukaryota; Metazoa; Chordata; Chondrichthyes; Myliobatiformes; Dasyatidae. The record is from RNAcentral.